UGCAAUAGAGAUUCGUAAAGGAUGAGAACCGUAAAGGUUCGAGUCUCGCGAAGCGAGACAACAUCACUCCGGUGAUGGCCCACAAGGCCGAGUUAUCCUGCACGAUCCACCA
Molecule: small RNA, 112 nt
Filed under: Serratia marcescens
Lineage: Bacteria; Pseudomonadati; Pseudomonadota; Gammaproteobacteria; Enterobacterales; Yersiniaceae
Also listed under: 1 other name
Description: RtT sRNA
Rfam family: RtT RNA
About the family: This family represents a bacterial cis-regulatory element known as RtT RNA.
Source: RNAcentral